Sus scrofa (pig) is the source of this 232-nucleotide non-coding RNA. The record is from RefSeq and is a predicted model, not a curated record. Lineage: Eukaryota; Metazoa; Chordata; Mammalia; Artiodactyla; Suidae.
GUUUUCGCGGGAAGGAGGCGGGGCCGGGAGCUCACCUCUGCGGAGGGCGCCCAGGGGUACCCUCUGGGGUGAGUAAAAUGUUGAAGAUUACCAGUGAGAACAGACACCCUCGGCUUGUUCUUGAACUUAACGGGAAAGCAUUCAAUCUGGAACCAGGGAUGUUCAGGAGUGUUCUUGUCCUGCAACAGGUUAAGGAUCUGGUGUUGUCACUGAAGUAACUUGGGUUGCUGCU